AUUGAACGCUGGCGGCAUGCUUUACACAUGCAAGUCGAACGGUAACAGCACUUCGGUGGCUGACGAGUGGCGAACGGGUGAGUAAUACAUCGGAACGUGCCUAGUAGUGGGGGAUAACUACUCGAAAGAGUAGCGAAUACCGCAUGAGAUCGAAGGAUGAAAGCAGGGGACCGUCGGGCCUUGCGCUACUAGAGCGGCUGAGGGGAGAGUAGGUAGUGGUUGGGCUAAAAGCUUACCAAGCCGACGACCUGUAGCGGUACUGGGAGGACGACCAGCCACCCUGGGACUUGGCCACGGCCCAGGCUCCUACGGGAGGCACCAGUGGGGAAUUUUGGACAGUGGGCGCAAGCAUGGUCCAGCAAUGCCGCGUGCAGGAUGACGGCCUUCCGGUUGUAAACUGCUUUUGUACGGAACGAACCGCCCUCUUCUAAUACGGGAGGGUCAUGACGGUACCGUAAGAAUAAGCACCGGCUAACUACGUG
RNAcentral lists this ribosomal RNA (482 nucleotides) under uncultured bacterium. RNAcentral describes it as "partial 16S ribosomal RNA". It matches the Rfam family "Bacterial small subunit ribosomal RNA", at positions 30 to 507 of the family's 1533-position model. The record is from RNAcentral.